GUUAAUAACACUGUCUUAGUAAAUUAAGCCACGUUAAGCUGUUUCACGUUAAGCGUUUUAGAAUGUCCCAGUGGCAAUAUAAUUUUCAACUGAUUAACAUUAUGAAAACUGGUAAAACCUUUAGGAACUUCAAAAGAUAAAACAGCGAAACUCCUAAUAUUAUUUCCAGUAAUUCCAAACUAUGUUCAUUUUCCCGAUUGAAUUGUCACAUAGGUUGCAAAAGUGCAUUCUGCAAACAGUAGCUAAGAUGGAGAUCCGUGUUGCAUUUGUUGGAAUUCAUCGCUGAAGGUUUGAUCAUGGCAGAUUUAGUCACACAAAUAGUACGAGUGGCUUGUGAAGAAACAAAGACUGGCUGUAUGACACUUUCAUUGAAGCAUAAUUGCACUGUGGAGAUCGCUAAACUACAGCGCACAUGUUGGUUCUCAGAUCAUCAUCGCUUCAUCGAAUGAAUAUUAUAACAAAUUUUAGCAAUUUUAGGCUAUUGCACUUAAGUAUGAGACUACCGCUCUACCGCUGUGUUGUUAUUCCAAAACACGUUUUUGCUCAUGUGAAGGAUGCUGUUUUACGUGGAUACUGGGACACAAGUAAAGUACAAAGCCUUGUUAAGUUUCAGCUUCGCUUUAAAUAAUUUGCUACACCAACGGGAUUUAUCUGGGUUUUUUUUUUUUUCUUUCUUUUUUUUCUCCUCUCAAAAACUUAAGUCUGACCCGAUGCAUGUGACAUCAGGUGCGACUUAUUUUCCAGAAAAUAAGGAAUGCUAAAUGAUAAAAUUGUGCUUUAUUAUUAGAAACUGCAUAUUUACAAAUGGGCACUGCCAUUGAUACAGGCAUCGAAAGGUAUUUUACACUAUAUUUGCUUGCUUUUUGAGCGCGGAAGUGUGAUAAAGACACUGAUUUAGGCUAUAUAAAUUCUCUAUUAUAGAUCAGAUAAAGGUAAACGUACACAUCAUGUACAAAAUAUGUCGUUUUAACGACAUAAUAUUUCGUUAUUACGAAAAAAUGUCGUUUUAACGACAUAACAUCUCGUUUUUAUGAGAAAAGAUGUCGUUUUAACAAUAUCUCGUUUUUACGAGAAAAGAUGUCGUUUUAACAAAAUCUCUUUAUUAUGACAUAAAUGAUUGGAAAAAAUGUUAUGUAUGUGGCAGCAAUGCGCCACCGUACAUUUGUUAACAUUAGUUAAUGUAUUAACUAAUAUGAACUAACAAUGAGCAAUACAUUUGUUAGAUAAUAAAAAUACAAUCCUUCAUUGUUUGUUCAUAUUAGUUCACAGUGCAUUAACUAAUGUUAACAAAAACAACUUUUGAUUUUAAUAAUCUAUUAGUAAAUGCUGAAAUUAACAUUAACUAAGAUUAAUAAAUGCUGUAGAAGUAAUGUUCAUUCUUAGUUCAUGUUAACUAAAUUAGUAAACUAAUGAAACCUUAUUGUAAAGUGUGACCACGUAAGUGAUAUGAAGUUUUAUGUCGCUUUUUUUUGUUAGUUUGACCUGCCGUUACUGAUUUUUUUUUUGCUGAUUCCAGUUAUCUUUCUAAGAACUAUAAUUGACCGCAUAUACAAACAAAAAUCUACUUUUUUUUUUUUCUGGAUAGUAGGGGUGUAACGGUACACGUAUUCGUACCGAACCGUUUCGGUACAGGUGCACGUGUGUACCGAAUAGGCAUGUGACGGUAUCAAAUUUUUAUGUUGCGAUAAUUGCUUAACCUUUUAUCACAGUAUACGGUAUUAUCACAGUUUAAGAACUCUUUUUCUUAUAAGAAAAAAAGACCUCUGAACAUUUAAAUACAAUAAUGCAAUAUACAAAAAAAAUAUAAAGUAAAAUCUUCCAAACAGAUUAAAGUGCAAAAGAAUUAUAAAGAUCAACAGGUAACACUUUACAAUAAGGUCUUAUUAUUUAACAGGGGUUAAUGCAUUAACUAAGAUUGAGCAAUAGCUACAUUUGUUACAGAAAGUAUAGGUGCGUCCCAAUUCGCAUACUUAUGCACUAUUCUAUGACGUUUUUUUAAGUAUAAAUAGUGCAAGAGGUGUGUUCACACUGAAAAUUCCCCAAAAAUUCCAUUUUAACAGAAAAAACAGAGUGUGGAAUGUUGGACACUUCAUGCCACUCAACUGUCGCAGCUUUAAUUACGUAGCGGAGGGGGAGGGGGUAUCAGACUCCGUUGUUAAAUGACAAAAUAACCUUAUACAAUUCACGCACUACAUGGAUAAGUACAUAGUGUAUAGUGCGUCAUUUGGGACUCAACUUAUUAUUUUUUGUUAUCUCAAUAAACAAAUUGUUAAAAAAAAACAUAUUAUUUUUUUGUUAAUGUUAGUUAAGAAAUACAACUGAUCAUUGUUAGUUUUAUCGCAGGUCGAUUGAAUAAGCUUUUGAUUUUAGUAAUGUUAUUAAACAUUAACUAGUAAGAAAUUGACAUUAACUAAGAUUAAUAAAUACUUUAAGUAUUUUUCAUUGUCAGUUUGGUAAUAAUGAAUGAACAUGUUAACUAAUGAAGCCGCGUGUCUCAAAGUUUUACUGAACAAUAACAAAUAAUCAGAACAUUUUCAAUCAUUAGGGGAUGUUGUAGUCCAGAUUAAAAUAUAAAAAUGUAUAAGUUUGAAAAUAAAUAGCCUAUUAAGUCUUUAAGUAUUAUGUAUUUGGUGCUGUGCUGAGAAACAUUGUGAAUACAAAAAAUUGAAUGGCUGUUAAAAAGCAUUUUAAAAACUGUUCAAUAGCGCAGCUGCUUUGUUUACGGGGUUUCCAGGGUAACCGCCGCAUUCGGCUGUUCCAUCAGCUGCUGUCAGAGAGUGAACGCACACUUUCAUUCAGCGCGUCUCCUUCACUCGUUCCGUCCUGUGCUUCUCGUGCACUUCUGAGUGGUGUGUCCCUUUGAUGCAGCAUACAGCGGUGUUGUGCAUUUAAUAAUGUGGUUUUAUAGAACACCACUGUUAAAAUACGUAGUAUACAUAAUAUAAACAUCAUCUUAUGUACAUUAUGUAUUAUAACAAAUGCCUGCAGAGGGCGUCAGCGGCCUGGUGUUACACUUUACAGCAGAUAAAAUCCUUGUUUAACAUUGGCCAAACACAUAUAAUUCAAAAUGUUUACUUUAUUCUUUAAUAUUUGGCCAAUUCUUUACAAUGCUACAGCCAUUGUAAUUUAUCCAACAAGUAUAUGUGAACCCCAGUGAAAAGUGGUAUAGAUCAAAUUUAAAUUUAUCGAUUUGUCUUCUGUUUUACACAUCCAUACAAAGGAUUUUUUUUUUUAUAUAUAUAUAUAUAUUUUAUUGGUGCAAUAUGAAUACAAACAUUACAAAGCAAAAUGUUACUUAACAAUUAACAGUUAUUUCAUUUUGCAUGCAUGUUGUCGUCAUAAUAUUACACUUAACAUUUGUCCCACACAGACAAAUACUACACAAAUAGAAAAAAAUACAUGCAAAUGAACAGCUACCUUUUUUUCCUAUGAAGAGGCCCUUCUUAAGGAGAUAUGGAGGUCCUUUAGAAUAAAAUUAAAAAAAAAAAGUUUACCAAGCUCGAUUUACCAAGCCAGAAUAAGUUGAAGUGGAACAAACUACUUUCUGACACAUGCACACUAAAAAAGGAUAUACUGAUAAAAUAUCCCACUGAAAAAAAAACUGACAAGGGAGACUGUGGUAUAGUGGCAUGAUAAAUGUUUUCCCUCGCAGUAUGUCAGCAAUCAGUUUGUGUGUCAUGCAUUUUUCUCAUUUUGUUCAUCGUGAAUCAGUUACUCUGUUGAAUCAGUUCUUUCGCAUGAAUUGCUCUAAUGGGUCAGUUGGUCUAACUAACAAGGGCCGCUCUCUCACCCUCUGAAUCGUUUGUAGCCCUUUCUCUCUAUUGUUGGUUUAUUGUUGUUGGUUUUUUUGUACAAAACCAACUGUUAUGUACGCUAGAGCAUACAAGGUAUUGCGUGUUGUGGGUAGUCUGUUUUGUGUGUUUUCUGUUUUUUUGUGUGUUACAGUUUCCAUUGGUUCCGCUGCCUGUCAUUCACCACCAAAGAUGACAUUCUUUGUUAUCGUGCUUGUACAGUUACGGUUGUCUGUUCUCGCCAGUCAUCAUGUUGUGUGUGAGGCUGGGAAGGUGUGAGCAGGUUUGUCCAUAGUCAAGAAUGUGCAUCAUUAGUUCUCAAGUGGUUUUUGAAAACCCAUGAUCCUCGAGAAUUUCCAGUAGCAGCUGAGGAAAAGGCAACUUUGCGUUGGACAACAUGAGAUCGGUAAGUGGUUGUUGAUAUUCUUCAUCAACACGUCUGAAGUGUGAGUGUUUAGUUUCCGUCAAGUUCAUAAUUGAUUCAGUGUCUACUCCCUUCAUGUUCACAGUCGGAAGAAUAUGCCUCGUGAGCGGUUACCCCCGGAAAGCGAUUGAGGGGACCCCUCCAAGGAACGGUGGUGUCUUUCUUUCUCUUCCUCACAUUAAUCUUUGAGCUCCAGCAGGAACAUGUUGAAACAUUUGCCAGAAGCUUGUGUUGUGCUCAGUUGUAGGAGGUGAGUCAGUGCCCCGCCUAAAAUCAGGUGUGUACAACAGUUCAGUUGCGAAGCUCGCUUCAUAUUCACAGCGGGGUUGGCGUAACUUUUUUGGGGUUACCCUGGGAGUUCAUCUGGAGUCCCUGAAAUCCCCUAAUGUAGACCGCUGCUCUGCUUUUCUGGACUAACAACAGACCUAUUUGUGCUGAAAAGUUUUAUAAGACUGCGUGUUAUGUUUUGUCACUCUUCAAAGUAAGAACUUUAAAACCUAAAACAAAUCUCUGAGAAAUUCAGAAAUAUUUUAAGAAUCUUUUAUUAUGGUAUUCUUACAGGAGACUGACUGAAAACUUGAUCAUCAAUAAGUGAUGGAGAGUCACAAAACUCCAGGAUAUGUGAUAAAUGUUGGUCCAUAAGGCAAAGCACAGAUUCGGUCAAUCUCCACUUGUGUCAGAGCGGCUAUGUCACUGUUCAAAGAGUCCUUGUGUGAACACAACACACAGAGGGGACGAGGCACAAAAAGCAGCAGGUACGGCUAAUCCAGUGUGCUGAUUUAAGGCCCCUCCUCUUGCCAGCACGAGUGCUGUGACGGUCGGUGAUUAAACAUACUAGAUCUGUACCGCCACUCCCUAUACACAAAUCAAGCAGUCUGCGGAAAGCACCAACUACCAAUGUGGGCACCAUCGGCGCAACAACCGCACCCCCUGAAAGUGAUUGUGAAUUUGAGUGCAAUGUCAACGAGAGACACUGCCUGGCCAGAAAGCGGUUCUGUGUAGGGCAGAUAUUUGACCAGUUGCAGCCCUGCACAGUUUGUUGUGGCGCCUGAGAAAAGGUUCUUCGAGUUGUAACAACUGAGCUUGUUAAGCACUUUCGGGCAUUUAUUCAUGUCACAUUUGUUCCCAUCUGUGGGCUGAGCUGUACUGGCAGGUUGAGCUGUCUAAAGGAAUAAAAUGUCACUUGAACAGAAUCUUUUUAUGCUAACCUAAUUAAUUAAAUCAUUUGUACUUGUUCUCUUUUUCCACAAUGUUUUUUGUGAAGUUUUUUUUUUUUUUUUUUUUUUUUUUUUUUUUUCUGUAUCUAAAGUAAAAAGAUGUAUAAAGUAAGAAAACUGAAAAUAAAUUCAUGAGAAGUUCACAAAUGUAAAUAUUUUGUUAAGUCACAUAUCAAUUUAACAGAAUUACAAAUAAAAGUAGUAAUAAAAUGUGAUGAAUGUAGGUCACAAAAGCAAAGCACAGGCUCAGGCACUGUAAAGGUUUCAGAGUCCGGUGUCGCCUAGUCCUUAGAUAACAGUCAUGGUAGUGUGUCAGCCCGAAGAUGUAGGAAGCUUCUCGGGUAAAGUAGUGUGUCAGCCCGAAGACGUAGGAAGCCUCUCUGGUAAAGUAGUGUAUCAGCCCGAAGACGUAGGAAGCUUCUCGGGUAAAGUAGUGUGUCAGCCUGAAGAUGUAGGAAGCUUUUCAGGUAAAGAAGUGUGUCAGCUCGAAGAUGUAGGAAACUUUCAGGUAAACAGUCAGGACUUGAGCAUUUUUGGGAUCGUGUGCAGGCAUGUCCAGUCCAGAAACCAGCCUUUUCAUGCAGUGCAGUGUCAAGUAUUCAUUAGAGAAUACAGCCGUCAACUCGAUAGUGUUUCAUAGAUGGAUGUGCUUCUUGGUGAUUGAGUUCGCAAGCUCUUCUCUGUCCAAAAUUAUUUCAUGUGAUUCAGUAGCCAUUGGUAAACAAGCUGAAGCACAUUCCUAAAUAAUGCACUUAUGCUCCCCUCAUCAGCUUCCCUCCCGCAAUGUAUUGGAAUGUUAAUAACACAGUUUUGAUUAUUAUGCACAUCAAGGUACAUGCUCACUGGUGUAGUUUCAACAGGCAUCUCCACUCCAGGUAAACAGAUUUGUUUUAGGUUUUUUAUAUCAAACAGCUGACUUCACAAGCUGUUACAGGUCAGAGUCCAGUGUCGUCUAGUCCUUAGAUAACAAUCACGGUAAUGUGUCAGCCCGAAGAUGUAGGAAACUUUCUCGGGUAAAGUUGUCUGUCAGCCCGAAGAUGUAGGAAACUUUCUCUGCUAAUUUUUCGGGGUCACCAGUCCCGAAAAUUCAGCCGAGAAGUUUGGUGAUCCCGAAAAAUUAGCAGAGAUAAUUUCCUACAUCUUCGGGCUGACACACUACUUUACUUCAAUGAAUAGACACAACUGAACAAAAACAUUGUAUUUUAUAACAUAAACUUAGUUAUAAAAAAUAUUAAUAAACUUACUAUAAUCAGUUUAAUUCCUAAUGUUCCCACCUACAGUAAGUGAGCAUAGGCUAUGUAUUGUACACCAAGGAAAGCACAAUGAAGCACACUGCGUGCGCAAGUAUGAGAUUUAUUCUUGGUUACAAUUGUAACUGGUAGGAAACUACAAUGAAAAUCUCUUCAGUUUGCUCAUUAAUACUCAUAAAAUUGCAAACAGUAACAAAUUAUACAUUUAGGUAGGUGCAUUAUAAACCAAGAAAAAAAUGCAUAGCCUACUUUUAAAUUUACCUUAUUUUUCACAAAACAACACUAAAUUAUGCAUUUUUUUUAAAUGUGACUCAGUCAUUUACCUGUUUAAAACGAGUCUCUUUUUUUCUUCAUUUACUAUUGCUGAUGUUGAAACUUUCUGUUAAAUUACACAAAUCACAGGUUUGUCCAUAGUCAAGAAUGUGCAUCAUUAGUUCUCAAGUGUUUUUUGGAAACUUGAUCCUCGAGAAUUUCCAGUAGCAGCUGAGGAAAAGGCAUCUUUGCGUUGGACAACAUGAGAUCGGUAAGUGGUUGUUGAUAUACUCCAUCAACACGUCUGAAGUGUGAGUGUUUAGUGUCCGUCAAGUUCAUAAUUGAUUCAGUGUCUACUCCCUUCAUGUUCACAGUCAGAAGAAUAUGCCUCGUGAGCGGUUACCCCCGGAAAGCGAUUGAGGGGACCCCUCCAAGGAACGGUGGUGUCUUUCUUUCUCUUCCUCAUAUGAAUCUUUGAGCUCCAGCAGGAACAUGUUGAAACAUUUGCCAGAAGCUUGUGUUGUGCUCAGUUGUAGGAGGAGACUGACUGAAAACUCAAUCAUCGAUAAGUGAUGGAGAGUCACAAAACUCCAGGAUAUGUGAUAAAUGUUGGUCCAUAAGGCAAAGCACAGAUUCGGUCAAUCUCCACUUGUGUCAGAGCGGCUAUGUCACUGUUCAGAGUCCUUGUGUGAACACAACACACAGAGGGGACGAGGCACAAAAAGCAGCAGGUACGGCUAAUCCAGUGUGCUGAUUUAAGGCCCCUCCUCUUGCCAGCACGAGUGCUGUGACGGUCGGUGAUUUAACGCAUACUAGAUCUGUACCGCCACUCCCUAUACACAAAUCAAGCAGUCUGCAGAAGGCACCAACUACCAAUGUGGGCACCAUCGGCGCAACAACCGCACCCCCUGAAAGUGAUUGUGAAUUUGAAUGCAAUGUCAACGAGAGACACUGCCUGGCCAGAAAGCGGUUCUGUGUAGGGCAGAUAUUUGACCAGUUGCAGCCCUGCACAGUUCGUUGUGGCGCCUGAGAAAAGGUUCUUUGAGUUGUAACAACUGAGCUUGUUAAGCACUUGUGGGCAUUUAUUCAUGUCACAUUUGUUCCCAUCUGUAGGCUGAGCUGUACUGGCAGGUUGAGCUGUCUAAAGUAAUAAAAUGUCACUUAAUGGACACUUAAGUUUAUGGAAAGAAAAUGAAAUAUUACAUAAAUUAAUGUUGAAUGAUGUUCUUGUUGUGUAGACUAAUCAGAUAAGUGUAAAUUUAUUUGUAUUUUUUAAGUCUAAUCCAAACAUUAGUCGUUAAAGACAUAAUUAUUAAUAACUAACUGGUACAGCAAACAAGUGUCUCUGAAACUAUUUUAUACUUGAUCAUAUAAAUCAGUUGAUAAUGCAUUAUGGCCAUGUGCAUUGAAAAAGCAAAUGCAUGGCUUAUAAAUACAUUUAAAAAUAAUAUAAAUGUAACUAUAACCGUUCUUAUAAUACAGUAUAGGUCUUAAUGAGUCUUUAUACAUAUAUUUAUAGAAUAGUAAUACUUACUUAUAAAUAAGUAUAAAUGGGGCUAUUAUUCAUUAUAAGCAUGGUCUUCAUAGAAAGUGUUACCCAAAGGUCUUAAGGGUUUGUAAUGACAUGAGGGUGAGUAAUUAAUGACAGAAUUUUCAUUCUGGGGUGAACUAACCCUUUAAUACUGUUACUGCAACCUUGGCUGUGCCUACAGCAGCGGCACUCUGAAUUACCUGCUACAGCAGAGCAGAGCAAGCUUUAGGCAACAUGUUUCAGCAAGUCUGCCAGUUCCUGUUGUGGCAAAUAAUUCAUAUAAGGAAGAGAAAGAAAGACUUCGCUCUCAACAGACUUUUGACAGAGCUCAAACGCCCUCGUUUUUUUUUUUUUUUUUGAAGGGUCCUCUUAAUCAAAUUUCAUGGGCAUUUCUCUGUGAACACGAAGUGAGUUCAUCUGCGAUCAAGAGCUCCGACACCGAAUAUAGAAAACGAACUGUUGUACACACCGGACCAAUGACGGACUCACGGGACUCUCUUACAGACACUUCAGACAUGUUGGAGUAUUUUAACAACCUGAUCAACCAUUUUCCAGGCACUAAGUUGCCUUUUCUCGUCCGCAGGCUUGUCUUUUUCAGAGGGUCACGGGUUUCAAAAAAACACUUGAGGACUAACCAUGAGAAUUCUUGACAGUAGACAAACCUGUGACCUGUGUAAUUCAACAGAAAGAUUCAACACAUGCAGUACAGCCACUGUAAAUGAAGUAGGCAAAAUGGUCUGUUAAAAUUCUUUAGUUUAUGUUCUGAUUGUUUUUUAUAACUUUCUUCAAUAAAAUAUUAUUUUGCUGGGUACUGUAGCUAUCUAAACUGUAUAUUGCGUUCAAACAUGUCUUUUAAAUGGGCUUUGAAGUCAAACAAAGUGAAGGACCAGAACAGCAGCAACAAGAAGGAUCGACCAGUGCCGCAGCGGGUUCCAGUGCCGCAGCGGGUGCCAGAGCCGCAGCUCUCUGUUGUGCAACCAGAGCCACAUAAAUAUGUCUACUAACAUUCAUUCGUUCAUUCAAAAUUUGUUCCAGCAAUUUAAUUGCAAAUUGAGCCAGUAUAUUUGGUACCACAGCUGGAUUUCUUCACCAUCUUCUACACCAUGGACGCAGUUACUUUUAACUUCAGUGUUAAAGUUGAGGUGAAUAUAACGAAUGAAGGCCGUGGAGUUCAGUGGAGGGUAAGCACUGUCUUGGACUCUCCAACUCAGUUCCAUCUGAGCACCAUCUUCUACGUGCUUCAGCGUGCUUGGCAGUGGAUGCGCAUCAGAAGAGCUCUCUGAACACAUUUGACAGAGGACAAUCUGAGAUCAUCAUCAUCAUCACCCCACAGAGUUGGAACAAAGAUGUCGCCGCAAAGAUAUUUCGUUCCAUUCAUCCACAAUCCAUCCUCAGUGAGUCAAUGGGACUAUUGAUGGUGAAAUCUGAAAAGUGGAUCGACAGACAAUCCGCCAGCCUGACCAAGACAAGAAACCCAUGGCUGAUUUUAUUGUAUCUCCUGGACUUUCACAACCUUGUCUGAGUCGUCCAGGGCACUAUUAUUCAGUAAAACCAUUCAUUUGUUAAUCCCACUGUUUUGUGGCUCUUCAGUGAUGAUGUGAUUGAGUUUUAGCCUGAAUUUGUCAAAGAUAUAUAGGCUAUUCUUUAAUAAAAGAUCAUGAAAUCCUA
Long non-coding RNA from Ctenopharyngodon idella (grass carp), 10133 nucleotides. RefSeq lists it as uncharacterized. The transcript has 3 exons. The record is from RefSeq and is a predicted model, not a curated record. Lineage: Eukaryota; Metazoa; Chordata; Actinopteri; Cypriniformes; Xenocyprididae.